UGGGGAAUAUUGCACAAUGGGCGCAAGCCUGAUGCAGCCAUGCCGCGUGUGUGAAGAAGGCCUUCGGGUUGUAAAGCACUUUCAGCGAGGAGGAAGGUGGUGGACUUAAUACGUUCAUCAAUUGACGUUACUCGCAGAAGAAGCACCGGCUAACUCCGUGCCAGCAGCCGCGGUAAUACGGAGGGUGCAAGCGUUAAUCGGAAUUACUGGGCGUAAAGCGCACGCAGGCGGUUUGUUAAGUCAGAUGUGAAAUCCCCGGGCUCAACCUGGGAACUGCAUUUGAAACUGGCAAGCUAGAGUCUCGUAGAGGGGGGUAGAAUUCCAGGUGUAGCCGGUGAAAUGCGUAGAGAUCUGGAGGAAUACCGGUGGCGAAGGCGGCCCCCUGGACGAAGACUGACGCUCAGGUGCGAAAAGCGUGGGGAGCAAAACAGGAUUAGAUACCCUGGUAGUCCACGCUGUAAAACGAUGUCGAUUUUGGAGGUUGUGCCCUUGAGGCGUGGCUUCCGGAGCUAACGCGUUAAAUCGACCGCCUGGGGAGUACGGCC
RNAcentral lists this ribosomal RNA (545 nucleotides) under uncultured bacterium. RNAcentral describes it as "partial 16S ribosomal RNA". It matches the Rfam family "Bacterial small subunit ribosomal RNA", at positions 355 to 887 of the family's 1533-position model. The record is from RNAcentral.